Molecule: ribosomal RNA, 2614 nt
Filed under: human gut metagenome
Description: bacterial LSU rRNA
Rfam family: Bacterial large subunit ribosomal RNA
Source: RNAcentral
UAAAGCAAGAAAGGGCGUAUGGGGAAUGCCUAGGCACACUCCGGCGAAGAAGGACGCAGCAAACAGCGAAAUGCGACGGUGAGCGGUAAGCACGUGAAGAGCCGUCGAUAUCCGAAUGGGGGAACCCACACGGAGUCAUAUCCGUGUAUCACAUGUCGAAUACAUAGACAUGAUGAGGCGAGACGCAGGGAACUGAAACAUCUAAGUACCUGCAGGAAGAGAAAAUAAGAAUGAUUUUCUGAGUAGCGGCGAGCGAAAGGGAAAGAGCCCAAACCGAUCUGAGGAUCGGGGUAGUAGGAUCAUCGAGGAAUCUGACAGAGGAUCAUAGAGGAAUCACAUGGGAAGGUGAGCGAGAGAGGGUGAGAGCCCCGUACUCGAAAUGAGAGACUGGAGAGAGAUGACACCUGAGUAGGGCGGGACACGAGAAAUCCUGUCUGAAUCAGCCGGGACCAUCCGGCAAGGCUAAAUACGAGAGAGUGACCGAUAGUGAACCAGUACCGUGAGGGAAAGGUGAAAAGAACCCCGGGAGGGGAGUGAAAGAGAACCUGAAACCAUAUGCCUACAAGAAGUCAGAGCCCGUUAAAGGGUGAUGGCGUGCCUUUUGUAGAAUGAACCGGCGAGUUACUGUAUGGAGCGAGGUUAAGCAGGAUAUGCGGAGCCGAAGCGAAAGCGAGUCUUAAGAGGGCGCGAGUUGCAUGCAGUAGACCCGAAACCGGGUGAUCUAGCCAUGACCAGGUUGAAGUUGGGGUAAAACCCGAUGGAGGACCGAACCGACCCCCGUUGAAACGUUGGCGGAUGAGUUGUGGCUAGGGGUGAAAUUCCAAUCGAACCCGGAGAUAGCUGGUUCUCCCCGAAAUAGCUUUAGGGCUAGCGUCGGAAAGAACCUUAGUGAAGGUAGAGCACUGAAUGUGUGAUGGCCCCAUCCCGGGGUACUGAAUACAAUCAAACUGCGAAUGUCAUUAAGGAUGUCCGGCAGUCAGACUGUGAGUGAUAAGGUCCAUGGUCAAGAGGGAAACAGCCCAGACCGCCAGUUAAGGUCCCAAAAUACAGGCUAAGUGGAAAAGGAUGUGGGGAUGCCCAGACAACUAGGAGGUUGGCUCAGAAGCAGCCAUCCUUUAAAGAGUGCGUAACAGCUCACUAGUCGAGUGACCCUGCGCCGAAAAUGUACCGGGGCUAAGCCUGAUACCGAAACUGCGGAUUGUAGGAAACUAUAGUGGUAGGGGAGCGUUGUAUACGAGUAGAAGCCGUACCGUGAGGAGCGGUGGAUUGUAUAGAAGUGAGAAUGCCGGUGUGAGUAGCGAGAUGUAGGUGAGAAUCCUACACACCGAAAGCCCAAGGAUUCCAGGGGAAGGUUCGUCCGCCCUGGGUAAGUCGGGACCUAACGCGAGGCCGAAAGGCGUAGUGGAUGGAAAGCAGGCGAAAGAUUCCUGCACCCGUAUAUGGAGCGAAGGAGUGACGGAGACGGAUAGUGUGACCCUCUUAAUGGAUUGAGGGCGAAGCGAAGCGGCUGGUUACCAGGCAAAUCCGGUAACCUUAAGGCUAGAGCGUGACAGGUAAGCGAAAUCUUAGGAAAGUAGCGAAGCACAUGAUGACGGCUUCCAGGAAAAGCUUCUGGCAAUGCAUAUGCGGCCCGUACCAAAACCGACACAGGUGGGCAGGGAGAGAAUCCCGAGGUGAGCGAGAGAACUGUUGCCAAGGAACUCGGCAAAAUGACUCCGUAAGUUAGCGAGAAGGAGUGCUUAAGCAAUUAAGCCGCAGUGAAGAGGCCCAAGCGACUGUUUAACUAAAACACAGCUCUCUGCGAAGUCGCAAGACGAAGUAUAGGGGGUGACACCUGCCCGGUGCUGGAAGGUUAAGAGGAUCUGUUAAGAGCGAUCUGAAGCAGUGAUCCGAAGCCCCAGUGAACGGCGGCCGUAACUAUAACGGUCCUAAGGUAGCGAAAUUCCUUGUCAGGUAAGUUCUGACCCGCACGAAAGGUGUAACGAUUUGGGCGCUGUCUCGGCAGCAGACUCGGUGAAAUCUUAGUACCUGUGAAAAUGCAGGUUACCCGCAACUAGACGGAAAGACCCCAUGGAGCUUUACUGCAGCCUGAUAUUGAAUUCUGGUCAUACAUGUACAGGAUAGGUGGGAGACAAAGAGACGUGCACGCCAGUGUACGAGGAGUCGACGUUGGGAUACCACUCUUGUGUGACCGGGGUUCUAACCUGGUAUCGAGAACAGGUACGGGGAGAGUGUCAGGUGGGCAGUUUGACUGGGGCGGUCGCCUCCCAAAGAGUAACGGAGGCGCCCAAAGGUACGCUCAGAUUGGAUGGAAACCAAUCGUCGAGUGCAAUUGCAGAAGCGUGCUUGACUGUGAGACAAACAAGUCGAACAGGGACGAAAGUCGGGAAUAGUGAUCCGGCGGUGCCGAAUGGAAGGGCCGUCGCUCAACGGAUAAAAGCUACCCUGGGGAUAACAGGCUGAUCUCGCCCAAGAGUUCACAUCGACGGCGAGGUUUGGCACCUCGAUGUCGGCUCAUCGCAUCCUGGAGCUGGAUUCGGUUCCAAGGGUUGGGCUGUCCGCCCAUUAAAGCGGUACGCGAGCUGGGUUCAGAACGUCGUGAGACAGUUCGGUC